Molecule: ribosomal RNA, 468 nt
Filed under: uncultured bacterium
Lineage: Bacteria
Description: partial 16S ribosomal RNA
Rfam family: Bacterial small subunit ribosomal RNA
Source: RNAcentral
GACGAACGCUGGCGGCGUGCUUAACACAUGCAAGUCGAACGGAAAGGCCCUGCUUUUGUGGGGUGCUCGAGUGGCGAACGGGUGAGUAACACGUGAGUAACCUGCCCUUGACUUUGGGAUCACUUCAGGAAACUGGGGCUAAUACCGGAUAGGAGCUCCUGCUGCAUGGUGGGGGUUGGAAAGUUUCGGCGGUUGGGGAUGGACUCGCGGCUUAUCAGCUUGUUGGUGGGGUAGUGGCUUACCAAGGCGUUGACGGGUAGCCGGCCUGAGAGGGUGACCGGCCACACUGGGACUGAGACACGGCCCAGACUCCUACGGGAGGCAGCAGUGGGGAAUAUUGCACAAUGGGCGGAAGCCUGAUGCAGCAACGCCGCGUGCGGGAUGACGGCCUUCGGGUUGUAAACCGCUUUCGCCUGGGACGAAGCGUGAGUGACGGUAAUGGGUAAAGAAGCACCGGCUAACUACGUG